CGCAAGUAGUCGAGGAAGGUGGGGAGUGACGUCAAAUCAGCAGGCCCUUACGUCCAGGGCUACACACGUGCUACAAUGGCCGGUACAAAGGGCAGCUACCUGGUGACAGGAUGCUAAUCUACAAAGCCGGUCGUAGUUCGGAUUGGGGUCUGCAACUCGACCCCAUGAAGUCGGAGUCGCUAGUAAUCGCAGAUCAGCAACGCUGCGGUGAAUACGUUCCCGGGCCGUU
RNAcentral lists this ribosomal RNA (229 nucleotides) under uncultured Marinilabiliaceae bacterium. RNAcentral's name for it is "partial 16S ribosomal RNA". It matches the Rfam family "Bacterial small subunit ribosomal RNA", at positions 1155 to 1382 of the family's 1533-position model. Lineage: Bacteria; Pseudomonadati; Bacteroidota; Bacteroidia; Marinilabiliales; Marinilabiliaceae. The record is from RNAcentral.